Long non-coding RNA from Leucoraja erinaceus (little skate), 1045 nucleotides. RefSeq lists it as uncharacterized. NCBI's taxonomy places the organism in Eukaryota, Metazoa, Chordata, Chondrichthyes, Rajiformes, Rajidae. The transcript is spliced from 3 exons. The record is from RefSeq and is a predicted model, not a curated record.
GAGGCUAGCAUGGGCUUGAUGGGCAGAAUAGCCUUUGGCUGUGUCAUAAUGGGAUAAUAUAAACUGGUAUGGAUUUGGAAUGAAACAGGUACCCCGAUGGUAAUAUGAUACAGUAUAAAACACUCAACUCUGUCUCCAAUGGUGUUUUCAACAGCGACGGCUUGUACAGAUACCAAACAUUUCCUGCUGCACGCUUAACUUUCAUUAGCUGUCAGCCUUUGUGGCUGUCAAAAUAAAAGUUGACUUCAAACAGCUUUAGCACAUUGCCUGUGGCAGCGGCUUAGUGACAUUAAAAGGAAAUGUGUUGAGGGCUAGGUGGCCUGGAGAGACUGGCGGUUAGAAGAUUCACUUCAUGUCCUGUGGUUGACUGGCUGGCUACAUUCGACAGAAAUGUUGAUUGUCCACAACAGCUUCCAUGCUGAUUGCUACAAGGCUGUGGGUCUGGAUUAGAAAUGGAAGCAUUCCAAUGUCUGCAGCCACCCACCGAUGACAUGGAACCAGGGGACUGCCAGACUCGGCCAUGAUAUGAAGCCACAUUCAAGUAAACCACCUUCUGGGAGGACUUCAAGCUAGUCUAUUAAAACAAAUGGAUCAAGUUCCACUCCCUACCAUCCCAUACCAGAUAGUAUCUGACCAGUGUAUGUCACAACUGUACGAAACUUUACAUCGAGAGCUUGCAGUCUCGGGAGAGGCCGAGGCGGGAGCUCCAAUGACGCAGAGGUUCGACAAGCCCCGAUCUGGGGUCCGAUCGCCAGCGUGGGGGAGCUGACAUCCCCCCGAUGCGGGAGCUGAUCUCCCCGACGUGGAGGAUCCAAAUACCACUGGCUCAUCCCGUCAACGGAGGGCUCGAGGCCCCCUGACCACGGGAGAACAAAGAAGGGAAGAGAUUGAACUUUUUUUUUCGCCUUCCAUCACAGUGAGGAAUGUGGAGGAGUCACUGUGGUGGAUGUUUAUGUUAAAAUGUAUUUUGUGCGUUCCGUUGCUUUUUAUUUGCAAAUGAAAUUCCUCAUAUGUUGCAAACAAUAAGUUGCUAAUAGAGUAUUAU